GGCUUAGAAGCAGCCACUCAUUUAAAGAGUGCGUAAUAGCUCACUGGUCGAGUGACUCUGCGCCGAAAAUUCAACGGGGCUAAAACCUGCACCGAAGCUUAGGCAUCCGCAAGGAUGGGUAGGGGAGCGUUGUGUACGAGGCGAAGCAUUAGCGAAAGCGGAUGUGGAUUGUACACAAGUGAGAAUGCCGGAAUAAGUAGCGCGAAUGAUGUGAGAAUCAUCAUGGCCGAAAGCCUCAGGUUUUUGGAGGAAGGUUCGUCCGCUCCAAGUUAGCCGGGAGCUAAGGUGAGGCCGAAAGGCGUAGCCGAUGCACAUACGGUAGAGAUUCCGUAGCCGCCGAAAGAUUUAAGCAGGGGGACACAUUUGAAGUGUUGGUGCCGGGUGUUGGUUUACCCGGUCGAAAGGGACUGAAAUUUAGUAGGGAAGUCCAGCAUGGAGAGUGGCGAGAAAAGCCCUGUGUAUAUCUAAGGCGCCCGUACCGCAAACCGACACAGGUAGGUAGGAAGAAGAUUCUAAGGCCAACGGGAGAAGGGUUGUUAAGGAACUCGGCAAGUUGACCCCGUAACUUCGGGAGAAGGGGUGCUCAUGAAAGUGAGCCGCAGAGAAUAGGCCCAAGCAACUGUUUAGCAAAAACACAGGUCUGUGCUAAAUCGAAAGAUGACGUAUACGGGCUGACACCUGCCCGGUGCUGGAAGGUUAAGGGGAUGUGUGCAAGCACUGAACCGAAGCCCCAGUAAACGGCGGCCGUAACUAUAACGGUCCUAAGGUAGCGAAAUUCCUUGUCAGGUAAGUUCUGACCCGCACGAAUGGCGUAAUGAUUUGGGCACUGUCUCAACAGCCCGCCCGGCGAAAUUGUAGUACCGGUGAAGAUGCCGGUUUCCCGCGACAAGACGGAAAGACCCCAUGGAGCUUUACUGCAGCCUAAUAUUGGGUUUCGAUAUUACAUGUACAGGAUAUGUGGGAGACAUGGAAGCACGGGCGUCAGCCUGUGUGGAGUCAGCCUUGGGAUACCACACUUGUGAUAUUGGAAUUCUAACCUGCGGCCCUGAAUCGGGUCGGGGGACAUUGUUAGGCGGGCAGUUUGACUGGGGCGGUCGCCUCCGAAAAAGUAACGGAGGCGUUCAAAGGUUGGCUCAGCUUGGACGGAAACCAAGCCAAAGAGUGCAAACGCAUAAGCCAGCCUAACUGCGAGACUGACGGGUCGAGCAGUAACGAAAGUU
RNAcentral lists this ribosomal RNA (1220 nucleotides) under human gut metagenome. RNAcentral describes it as "bacterial LSU rRNA". It matches the Rfam family "Bacterial large subunit ribosomal RNA", at positions 1103 to 2407 of the family's 2925-position model. The record is from RNAcentral.